Molecule: long non-coding RNA, 235 nt
Filed under: Vigna radiata
Lineage: Eukaryota; Viridiplantae; Streptophyta; Magnoliopsida; Fabales; Fabaceae
Description: long non-coding RNA (VRAD_LNC017916)
Source: RNAcentral
UUUUUUCCAUUUUUCUUCCAACACCAAUCGCUCAAUCACUUUCACAGUACACUGUGAUCAACCAUGUUCAUAAUUUUUUAUCUUGAAUCUGGCAUUGUUCACUUCGUUGUUCAUCACCUCAACGUACUCCAACAUUCAUAUUCAUAUGUUACACACCCUUCAUCAUGCACUAUAAACGUUUGUUUGUAUACAUAGCUAGGUCUCACUCACAUCAUUGAUUCACGUAGAAACAUUU